This is a long non-coding RNA of Daucus carota subsp. sativus, 180 nucleotides long. RefSeq lists it as uncharacterized. The record is from RefSeq and is a predicted model, not a curated record. The transcript has 2 exons. NCBI's taxonomy places the organism in Eukaryota, Viridiplantae, Streptophyta, Magnoliopsida, Apiales, Apiaceae.
CUCCAAAAUGACCUUAUCACAUGUCACUGAAGCUGUGUUUCUAAGUGCUUUGUUAAACUUUAGUUGAAUUGCUUUGGUUUUCUAAGCGCUUUGUUCAACUUUAGUUGAAGUUGAACUUACAGACACCUGAGUUGCUUUAUUUGAAGUUGAACUUACAGGCACCUGAGUUGCUUUAUGUCU